GAGGGUAUAGCUCAGUAGUAGAGCACGUGCUUAGCAUGCAAGAGGUCCUGGGUUCAAUCCCCAGUAACUCCA
RNAcentral lists this transfer RNA (72 nucleotides) under Camelus bactrianus (Bactrian camel). It matches the Rfam family "tRNA". From Rfam's summary of the family: Transfer RNA (tRNA) molecules are approximately 80 nucleotides in length. Their secondary structure includes four short double-helical elements and three loops (D, anti-codon, and T loops). RNAcentral also lists the same sequence under 2 other names. The record is from Rfam by way of RNAcentral. Lineage: Eukaryota; Metazoa; Chordata; Mammalia; Artiodactyla; Camelidae.